RNAcentral lists this long non-coding RNA (353 nucleotides) under Pan troglodytes (chimpanzee). Its description in RNAcentral is "long non-coding RNA NONPTRT017393". Lineage: Eukaryota; Metazoa; Chordata; Mammalia; Primates; Hominidae. The record is from RNAcentral.
UGGUAAGAGCAGCACCAGUGUUUUUGAAAAGUCCUGUGGCUGCGGUCCUCUACAGUUAUCUUCAGUCCUUCUUCAGUGCUGUGACUGAGUGCUUGCUGAUUAUUGUGCUUGCUGAUCCUGACUAAUACUCUCUCUUGAUGAGCUUCAUAUUCAUCACGACUUGGAUAAAUUUUGCUGAUGAGUGCAUCAAACUUUGGGUCUGGCCUUGGUGAUCUUUUGGAAACCAGUUUUUUCCAACAGUUGGUUGGAUCUAGGAUGUAAACUGCAAGUGUGGCAGGCCGACUGCACUGUUUUGUUACUAGAGGGAGUGAGAACACACCUGUGGACUUGAGCACCUUCCAUUCACCAGUUGC